Molecule: ribosomal RNA, 577 nt
Filed under: Mycobacterium sp. 01-665
Lineage: Bacteria; Bacillati; Actinomycetota; Actinomycetes; Mycobacteriales; Mycobacteriaceae
Description: bacterial SSU rRNA
Rfam family: Bacterial small subunit ribosomal RNA
Source: RNAcentral
AGAGUUUGAUCCUGGCUCAGGACGAACGCUGGCGGCGUGCUUAACACAUGCAAGUCGAACGGAAAGGUCUCUUCGGAGAUACUCGAGUGGCGAACGGGUGAGUAACACGUGGGUGAUCUGCCCUGCACUUCGGGAUAAGCUUGGGAAACUGGGUCUAAUACCGGAUAUGAUCACACGCUUCAUGGUGUGUGGUGGAAAGCUUUUGCGGUGUGGGAUGGGCCCGCGGCCUAUCAGCUUGUUGGUGGGGUAAUGGCCUACCAAGGCGACGACGGGUAGCCGGCCUGAGAGGGUGUCCGGCCACACUGGGACUGAGAUACGGCCCAGACUCCUACGGGAGGCAGCAGUGGGGAAUAUUGCACAAUGGGCGCAAGCCUGAUGCAGCGACGCCGCGUGGGGGAUGACGGCCUUCGGGUUGUAAACCUCUUUCACCAUCGGCGAAGCCGGAUGCUUUUGUGUCUGGUGACGGUAGGUGGAGAAGAAGCACCGGCCAACUACGUGCCAGCAGCCGCGGUAAUACGUAGGGUGCGAGCGUUGUCCGGAAUUACUGGGCGUAAAGAGCUCGUAGGUGGUUUGUCGC